AACGAACGCUGGCGGCAUGCCUAACACAUGCAAGUCGAACGGGACCUCCGGGUCUGGCGUCGCACCGGUGCGUAACGCGUGGGAACCUGCCAUUAGAUUCGGCAUCACUCCCCGAAAGGGGUGCUAAUACCGGAUAUUGUCUCCGUUCCAAAGAUUUAUCGCCCUUGGAUGGGCACGUGUUGGAUUAGCUAGUUGGUAGGCUAAAAGCCUACCAAGAGGAGGAUGCAUAUCUGGUCUGAGAGGAUGACCAGCCACACUGGGACUCAGACACGGCCCGGAAUCGUACGAGAAGAAGCAGUGCGGGAUACAGGACAAUGGGCGAGAGCCUGAUCCAGCUAUGCCUCGAAAGAGAUGAAGGGCUUAGGGUAAUAAUAAUAUUUUAGACCGGAUGAUAAUGACAGUACCGGGAGAAUAAGCACCGGCUAACUCCGUG
RNAcentral lists this ribosomal RNA (433 nucleotides) under uncultured bacterium. RNAcentral describes it as "partial 16S ribosomal RNA". It matches the Rfam family "Bacterial small subunit ribosomal RNA", at positions 29 to 507 of the family's 1533-position model. The record is from RNAcentral.